RNAcentral lists this ribosomal RNA (460 nucleotides) under uncultured bacterium. RNAcentral's name for it is "partial 16S ribosomal RNA". It matches the Rfam family "Bacterial small subunit ribosomal RNA", at positions 338 to 795 of the family's 1533-position model. The record is from RNAcentral.
CCUACGGGAGGCAGCAGUGAGGAAUAUUGGUCAAUGGACGAGAGUCUGAACCAGCCAAGUAGCGUGAAGGAUGACUGCCCUAUGGGUUGUAAACUUCUUUUAUAUGGGAAUAAAAUGUUCCACGUGUGGGAUUUUGUAUGUACCAUAUGAAUAAGGAUCGGCUAACUCCGUGCCAGCAGCCGCGGUAAUACGGAGGAUCCGAGCGUUAUCCGGAUUUAUUGGGUUUAAAGGGAGCGUAGGUGGAUUGUUAAGUCAGUUGUGAAAGUUUGCGGCUCAACCGUAAAAUUGCAGUUGAUACUGGCAGUCUUGAGUACAGUAGAGGUAGGCGGAAUUCGUGGUGUAGCGGUGAAAUGCUUAGAUAUCACGAAGAACUCCGAUUGCGAAGGCAGUUCACUGGACUGCAACUGACACUGAGGCUCGAAAGUGUGGGUAUCAAACAGGAUUAGAUACCCUAGUAGUC